This is an RNA transcript of Marmota monax (woodchuck), 2731 nucleotides long. It is a transcript of the gene named potassium calcium-activated channel subfamily N member 1, with no coding region annotated. The record is from RefSeq and is a predicted model, not a curated record. The transcript has 10 exons. NCBI's taxonomy places the organism in Eukaryota, Metazoa, Chordata, Mammalia, Rodentia, Sciuridae.
GCUCCUUCCAGGUCCUGAGAGGACGCGCACAGCAGCUACAGCACCCCGCGGCUGGGCGGUCACCCGGCAGGACUGAAGACCCCUGGACAGCAGCUCAGUAACAGAACCCUGCACCCAGGGUCAGCGCAGGAGCCCAGCCACUGAGCCAUGCCGGGCUCCGGGUGGCCUGCAGGGAGUCCAGCCCCGGCAGCCAGGUGGUCAUGAACGGCCACAGCCACAAUGGUAGUGUGGGGCGGCCGCUGGGCAGCGGGCCAGGUGUUCUGGGCCGAGACCCUCUGGACCCUGAAGCAGGCCGCCCCCUGCACCCCCCGCCCAGCCCCGGCCUCCAGGUGGUGGUGGCCAAGAGCGAGCCGUCCAGGCUCUCACCAGGCAGCCCCCGGGGGCAGCCCCAGGACCAGGAGGAGGAGGAGGAGGAGGAGGGGGAGGAGGAGGAGGAGGACAAAGCAGGCAGGCGGAGGGGCCCUGGGAAGACCCCGACUGUGGGCCACCGCCUGGGCCACCGCAGGGCCCUCUUUGAGAAGAGGAAACGGCUCAGUGACUACGCCCUCAUCUUCGGCAUGUUUGGCAUCGUCGUCAUGGUGACGGAGACCGAGCUGUCCUGGGGGGUGUACACCAAGGACUCGCUCUAUUCGUUCGCCCUGAAAUGCCUCAUCAGCCUGUCCACCGCCAUCCUGCUGGGCCUCGUGGUCCUCUACCACGCCCGGGAGAUCCAGCUGUUCAUGGUGGACAACGGCGCGGAUGACUGGCGCAUCGCCAUGACCUGCGAGCGCGUCUUCCUCAUCUCGCUGGAGCUCGCCGUGUGCGCCAUCCACCCGGUGCCCGGCCACUACCGCUUCACGUGGACGGCGCGGCUGGCCUUCACGUACGCGCCGUCGGUGGCCGAGGCCGACGUGGACGUGCUGCUGUCCAUCCCGAUGUUCCUCCGCCUCUACCUGCUGGGCCGCGUGAUGCUGCUGCACAGCAAGAUCUUCACGGACGCCUCGAGCCGCAGCAUCGGGGCGCUCAACAAGAUCACCUUCAACACGCGCUUCGUCAUGAAGACGCUCAUGACCAUCUGCCCGGGCACCGUGCUGCUCGUCUUCAGCAUCUCCUCCUGGAUCAUCGCGGCCUGGACCGUGCGCGUGUGUGAGAGGUACCACGACAAGCAAGAAGUGACCAGCAACUUCCUGGGGGCCAUGUGGCUCAUCUCCAUCACCUUCCUCUCCAUUGGCUAUGGUGACAUGGUGCCCCACACCUACUGCGGGAAGGGCGUGUGCCUGCUCACCGGCAUCAUGGGGGCUGGCUGCACGGCGCUCGUGGUGGCGGUGGUGGCCCGGAAGCUGGAGCUCACUAAGGCUGAAAAGCACGUGCAUAAUUUCAUGAUGGACACUCAGCUCACCAAGCGGGUAAAAAAUGCCGCUGCUAAUGUUCUCAGGGAGACGUGGCUCAUCUACAAACACACCAGGCUGGUGAAGAAGCCAGACCAAGCCCGGGUUCGGAAACACCAGCGGUCUUGCUAUGUUGUCCAGCUGGCCUUGAACUCCUAGACUCAAGGAAUCCUCCUUCCUCAGUCUUCUGAGUAGAUGGGACGACAGGCUCGGGGCACAGCACUUGGCUACCAUGGGAGGGGUUUUUGUUUGUUUAUUUUGCUUUGUUUUUCCGUGGUGCUGGGGAUGGAACCCAGGGCCUCGUGCAUGCUAGACAAGUGCUCCUCAACUGAGCUCCCCCAGCCCCUCCCCUUUCUGUAAGGACACUGGUCACAAUGGAUUAGGGCCACCCUAAUGACCUUAUCUUUGCUGAGGACACGUGCAAAGACCCUAUUUCCUAUUUGGUCACAUUUUAAGGUACUGGGAGUGGGGGUAAUUUGGGGGAGAACAUGGUUCACCCUAAACAGGGCAGUUCAGAGAAGCCAAGGAUACUAUUCCCAGUGCAAGGCUGUCUGGGUUUCCUGGCGGCCUCCUGCUGUUCCUGGGGCUCCCCAGCACCCAGCCCUGAACUCUGGGGCUGGGGGUGACUUUCCAUCUCUGCUUCUCUGGACUGGGGCUCCCUGGGCGUCUCCUGCCGGGGGCCCUACGAAGGCUGAGCUUGGAGUGCUGGGUCUGGGGUGUGGGGAGGUGAGUGCUCCCUGACGUGGUGCCCUGGGCUGACCAGCACAGAAGGGACCGUGGGGACAGGAGAGCACACACAUCGGCUGCCCCCACAGGCAGGUGUCCAGGGGCCGAGGGCAUAGAGAACAAGGGGCAGUUAUGGGUUCAAAUCCUGCUGGGGUGCCUGCCGCUGGGCAGUGGCUGUGCCCCUCAUACCUCAGCUUUUCUGGGUGAAACGCCAUCUGCAGGGUCCGGGCCGAUGUGCCCAGCGAGGCCGCUUGGCCAGGACCGUGUGGACACUGCUGAGGGGAGGGACCGAGGACAGGCACCUGCCUGGGGGCUGGCCCUGAGCCUUCAAGGCUGGGCCCCUCCUGCAGAGCAACAGCAGCCCCUCUGCCACGGGACCCCCAGCUUGGCCCUGGGUGGGGUGCGGGGCCGGGCGGGGUCGGGCGCGGGCGGCUCAGCUGGGCUGACAGUAAAAUUGCCUCGUGGUUUCCUCCUGCUCUGCCGGUCCUGCCAGGGCUCAAAAGCUCCGCAGUGUGAAGAUUGAACAAGGGAAGCUGAAUGACCAGGCCAACACGCUGGCCGAGCUGGCCAAGACCCAGAGCGUCAUGUAUGACCUGGUGUCCGAGCUGCACGCCCAGCAGGAGGAACUCGAGGUCCGC